This 935-nucleotide long non-coding RNA is filed under the name Homo sapiens (human). RNAcentral's name for it is "HSALNT0255187". The record is from RNAcentral. Lineage: Eukaryota; Metazoa; Chordata; Mammalia; Primates; Hominidae.
GUUUCAACCUAUUGAUGUUUCCUGCAUUUUGAGUCCAUAUAAAUUUUACAGGCUAUUUAGAAAUUACUGAUAAUAAGAGAGUACAGCUUAUGAGAGAGAAUGGCAUACCCAUUCUCUGGGGCAAAUUCAGAGCCUCAAUUUCUGGUAAAGAGAAACAAUUAAGCUAAAUAAAAGUAACACUUGAAUCAGUAAAUGAAGUUAUUUUUAAUAUUUCCAAAAUUGUUAGUAGAGCUGUCUUUACAAUUUUUUAUGGAUUUAAAUGACAUCUGUUUUUAAUCCCAGCACUUUGGGAGGCCGAGCCACCGCGCUAGGCCUUCAUUCUUAAUUUUAUCUACAAUAUUUGUUCUCUCCCCCUCCUUUGUCUUAGUUUUUCUGUUUUAUUGAUUCCUCCCUCUAAAACAGCACUGUCCAACAAACGUUCAGCAGCUAUGGAAAAGUUCUGUAUCUGUUCUAUCCAUUUCAGUAGUCACUAACCAUACAUGGCCCCUAAGCAGUGGAAACUUGGCUCGUGCGACUGAGAAAAUGAAUUUUUAAUUUAAUUUUCACGUGGGUUGUGGCCACCCUACUGAGCAGCAUCUCUCUAAAAGAUCCAGCUUUUUGAUUUUGUCAGUUCUAUUUGUUUUCUAAUCAGUUCGUCUGUGCUUAUUAUUUCCAAUAUUCAUCAUCUCAUUUUUGUGAUUUCUCUCUAUAUUCAUAUAAUAAAUUAUCAAGCAAAUUUCCUCUAUAAUCAUUUAAACCUCUGCCUUUGUCUCCAUGUUCACAUCAUUGUCAUCUUCAAAUAGUCUAUCCUUGCAGUGUUUCGAUCCUCCAACUUAAGACUUAGGGGUUGGUUGUUUUUUUGUUUUGUUUUGUGUUUUUUGUUUUUUUGAGAUGGAGGUUAGCUCUUGUUGCCCAGGCUAGAAGAGUCCAAUGGCACCAUCUCGGCUCACUGCAAC